CAGCCUUACCAGUGCCAACUGGAGGGGGAUAUUGCUUCCCUUGAUCUGUCGCCCACACUCCUCUUGAAGUGACUCAGCAUGUAGUUCACCUUAUUUGCAGUUGAGAUAGCAUUUUUGGUUCAUAUUCACCCAAGAGUAAAUAAUCCACCACAAAGCCUCAGACUUUCUCAGCUACAGUCAACAUGGUUCUGGUCAGGUAAUUCGUCGCCCCAGUUUUAGUAAAAUAUAUGGCAUUCAUUUUCAGGUGUGACAAUAAAUUUGUAAUCUCAUGACAAUUUAAACAGCCUGUGGCACAGGAACAGAGAAACCUUCACACGUCCUAAUGAAAGAAGGUAGUCCUUACUUCAAAAGAAGAAACUUAAACAACAGGAGGUAUUGCAUGGAAAAUGAAAGUAAAUAGUCGAACAUGAGCUGACAGUGAGAUACUGAUGUUUAGUACAAAAAGCAGCAGUUUCAGCAUCAGCUGCCCGUGCCAUUAUAUUUUAUUGACGUCUCCCAUGUCUGAUCAAAGUAAUCGAGGUUAGAAUCACAGAAUCAUAGAAUAAUUCAGGUUGGAAAAGACCUCUAAAAUCAUCCAGUCCAACCUUUAACCUAGUACUGACAAGUCCACCACCAAACCAUGCUACUAAUUUCUACAUCGACACAUUUCGUAAAGACCCCCAGGGAUGGUGACUAAUGGUGCCUUGACAAAACUCCGUUGGGUUGCCAGUCUCACAUACAAUGUCAUUUUUCACAGAGGCUAACAGAAAACAGUAUGGCUUAAGAACAGGAAAAUAAACACGACAGAAAGUUUUACCAAGGUAAGUCAACUGGAAAGAAGGAAAUCCCCAAAUACCCGUGGUGCUCAACAUGUUCUCUGGAAUUCCAGAACGAUUUCUGCAACGGCUCCCAGAAAUCUCCUAGGCAGGCACCCUGUGCUCAAGUGAGGCAAGAAGGCUGCUAGCUUUCAGCCUGGGGCUGUGUUCUUCAGAGUGCUCUACCUGGCAGCCUCUGCAGGUACAUGGGACUGCACUUUCUUUUUAACCAAGCUCACUGAUCAUGCCAGGAGCAACAAGUUCCUGAAGUUCCAGCACAUUGCCUGCAAACCUCCUGUCAACGUUGUCAACGUGACCUCAGCAGUAAGAAUGACUGAGAGUGAGAAGGUUGUCAUCAGUGUGACAGAAAGAGAUGAGACCCACAGCCCUUUUCUUCAAGGUUAACAGCAUGCAAGAUGUGACUUUGCAUCCUCUGAGCAAUGUCAGUUUUCUUACAUUCACCCCAAGAGUCUUUCCAUUGCAUCAUUUCUAGAACUUGCCUUCAUGUUUCUUAUUUCCAGUGAAAUAGCACUUUCUUCCCUUGUGAAGUUGUUUU
RNAcentral lists this long non-coding RNA (1350 nucleotides) under Anser cygnoides (Swan goose). RNAcentral's name for it is "lncRNA (ENSACDG00005001881.1)". The record is from RNAcentral. Lineage: Eukaryota; Metazoa; Chordata; Aves; Anseriformes; Anatidae.